This 153-nucleotide ribosomal RNA is filed under the name Vibrio parahaemolyticus. RNAcentral describes it as "partial 16S ribosomal RNA". It matches the Rfam family "Bacterial small subunit ribosomal RNA", at positions 1 to 133 of the family's 1533-position model. The record is from RNAcentral. Lineage: Bacteria; Pseudomonadati; Pseudomonadota; Gammaproteobacteria; Vibrionales; Vibrionaceae.
CUUAAAUUGAAGAGUUUGAUCAUGGCUCAGAUUGAACGCUGGCGGCAGGCCUAACACAUGCAAGUCGAGCGGAAACGAGUUAUCAGAACCUUCGGGGGACGAUAACGGCGUCGAGCGGCGGACGGGUGAGUAAUGCCUAGGAAAUUGCCCUGA